This 454-nucleotide ribosomal RNA is filed under the name uncultured bacterium. Its description in RNAcentral is "bacterial SSU rRNA". It matches the Rfam family "Bacterial small subunit ribosomal RNA", at positions 339 to 791 of the family's 1533-position model. The record is from RNAcentral.
GUACGGAAGGCAGCAGUAAGGAAUAUUGGUCAAUGGGCGCAAGCCUGAACCAGCCAUGCCGCGUGCAGGACGAAGGCCUUAAUGGUUGUAAACUGCUUUUGUAUAGGAAAAAUAAGCCCCUGCGGGAGCUAAUGAUGGUACUAUAAGAAUAAGCACCGGCUAACUCCGUGCCAGCAGCCGCGGUAAUACGGAGGGUGCAAGCGUUAUCCGGAUUUAUUGGGUUUAAAGGGUACGUAGGCGGUCUUUUAAGUCAGUGGUGAAAGCUAGCAGCUUAACUGCUAAAUUGCCAAUGAUACUGGGAGGCUUGAGUAUAGUUGAGGUGGGUGGAAUUUCACAUGUAGUAGUGAAAUGCUUAGAUAUGUGAAGGAACUCCAAUAACGAAGGUAGCUCACUAAACUAUAACUGACGCUGAGGUACGAAAGCGUGGGGAGCAAACAGGAUUAGAUACCCCGGU